RNAcentral lists this ribosomal RNA (477 nucleotides) under uncultured Gammaproteobacteria bacterium. RNAcentral describes it as "bacterial SSU rRNA". It matches the Rfam family "Bacterial small subunit ribosomal RNA", at positions 97 to 570 of the family's 1533-position model. Lineage: Bacteria; Pseudomonadati; Pseudomonadota; Gammaproteobacteria. The record is from RNAcentral.
GGCGGACGGGUGAGUAACGCGUAGGAAUCUACCUAUUGGUGGGGGAUAGCCCAGGGAAACUUGGAUUAAUACCGCAUAAGCUCUUAGGAGGAAAGCGGGGGAUCUUCGGACCUCGUGCCAAUAGAUGAGCCUGCGUAAGAUUAGCUAGAUGGUGGGGUAAUGGCCUACCAUGGCGACGAUCUUUAGCUGGUCUGAGAGGAUGAUCAGCCACACUGGGACUGAGACACGGCCCAGACUCCUACGGGAGGCAGCAGUGGGGAAUAUUGCACAAUGGGCGCAAGCCUGAUGCAGCCAUGCCGCGUGUGUGAAGAAGGCCUUAGGGUUGUAAAGCACUUUCAGUGGGGAGGAAAGGUUAUAAGUUAAUACCUUAUAGCUGUGACGUUACCCACAGAAGAAGGACCGGCUAAUUCCGUGCCAGCAGCCGCGGUAAUACGGAAGGUCCGAGCGUUAAUCGGAAUUACUGGGCGUAAAGCGCAC